AGCGUAGGCGGACUGUUAAGUCAGAGGUGAAAGCCCAGGGCUCAACCUUGGAAUUGCCUUUGAUACUGGCAGUCUUGAGUAUGGGAGAGGUGAGUGGAACUCCGAGUGUAGAGGUGAAAUUCGUAGAUAUUCGGAAGAACACCAGUGGCGAAGGCGACUCACUGGCCCAUUACUGACGCUGAGGCUGAAAGCGUGGGGAGCAAACA
This 206-nucleotide ribosomal RNA is filed under the name uncultured bacterium. RNAcentral describes it as "partial 16S ribosomal RNA". It matches the Rfam family "Bacterial small subunit ribosomal RNA", at positions 568 to 774 of the family's 1533-position model. The record is from RNAcentral.